UGUGGAGGAGGACGCCGAAGGUGGGGCUAAUGACUGGGGUGAAGUCGUAACAAGGUAGCCGUACCGGAAGGUGCGGCUGGAUCACCUCCUAACAGGGAGACAACGAAAUGUUAAAUAUUAAUUUUGUCACCUUAGGUCGAUCGGUAUCUCACAUUCUUAAUUUAUUAAGGAUUUUAUUUCCUAAGUUUUUUCUAGGUCACACCCAUCACUUUCCCUGGGCCAUUAGCUCAGGUGGUUAGAGCGCACCCCUGAUAAGGGUGAGGUCCCUGGUUCAAGUCCAGGAUGGCCCAUAUCUCUAUGUUGGGGGUAUAGCUCAGUUGGUAGAGCGCCUGCUUUGCAAGCAGGAUGUUAGCGGUUCGAGUCCGCUUACCUCCACUGAUUACCACCUCUUCCAUAAUUUUUAGAAGGGAAAUUUUUGAGUUGUGAUCAAAUUCUGAACGAUUCUAGCUUCCUAAUGAUUUUUAUUAAGAUGCUGGACUCAUUGAAUUAAAUUCAUUGUUUUCAGAGAACCUUGACAACUGCAUAGAUUUUUUUUAAAGACAAUAAGCAUCUUUAAUGAUGCAGAUUUAUUAUUUGUGCGAAUGCAUUAAUAACAAUUCUAUUAAGCUGAUGCUUCAAUUUUUGAAGUUAUUGGUCAAGCUACAA
RNAcentral lists this unclassified non-coding RNA (645 nucleotides) under uncultured Prochlorococcus sp. RNAcentral's name for it is "partial 16S-23S ribosomal RNA intergenic spacer; may also contain 16S ribosomal RNA and 23S ribosomal RNA". The stretch from base 303 to 375 matches the Rfam family "tRNA". The record is from RNAcentral. Lineage: Bacteria; Bacillati; Cyanobacteriota; Cyanophyceae; Synechococcales; Prochlorococcaceae.